GCGAGUCUCUGGAAGAGACGAGUAACCUGCGUUCAGGUUCGAGCAUCGCGAAGCGAUACGACAACGCGCAGCGUUGCCCGAAGGGUGAGGCCAAAGGCCGAAUCAAUCCUGCACGACCCACCA
This 123-nucleotide small RNA is filed under the name Serratia entomophila. RNAcentral describes it as "RtT sRNA". It matches the Rfam family "RtT RNA". Rfam says of the family: This family represents a bacterial cis-regulatory element known as RtT RNA. Lineage: Bacteria; Pseudomonadati; Pseudomonadota; Gammaproteobacteria; Enterobacterales; Yersiniaceae. The record is from RNAcentral.